This 429-nucleotide ribosomal RNA is filed under the name Bacteroidota bacterium. RNAcentral describes it as "Bacteroidetes bacterium partial 16S ribosomal RNA". It matches the Rfam family "Bacterial small subunit ribosomal RNA", at positions 355 to 776 of the family's 1533-position model. The record is from RNAcentral. Lineage: Bacteria; Pseudomonadati; Bacteroidota.
UAGGGAAUCUUCCGCAAUGGACGCAAGUCUGACGGAGCAACGCCGCGUGAGUGAAGAAGGAUUUCGGUUCGUAAAACUCUGUUGUUAGAGAAGAACAGCGCAUAGAGUAACUGUUAUGCGUGUGACGGUAUCUAACCAGAAAGCCACGGCUAACUACGUGCCAGCAACCGCGGUAAUACGUAGGUGGCAAGCGUUGUCCGGAUUUAUUGGGCGUAAAGCGAGCGCAGGCGGUCAAUUAAGUCUGAUGUGAAAGCCCCCGGCUCAACCGGGGAGGGUCAUUGGAAACUGGUUGACUUGAGUGCAGAAGAGGAGAGUGGAAUUCCAUGUGUAGCGGUGAAAUGCGUAGAUAUAUGGAGGAACACCAGUGGCGAAGGCGACUCUCUGGUCUGUAACUGACGCUGAGGUUCGAAAGCGUGGGUAGCAAACAGG